This 468-nucleotide ribosomal RNA is filed under the name uncultured bacterium. RNAcentral describes it as "partial 16S ribosomal RNA". It matches the Rfam family "Bacterial small subunit ribosomal RNA", at positions 28 to 507 of the family's 1533-position model. The record is from RNAcentral.
GACGAACGCUGGCGGCGUGCUUAACACAUGCAAGUCGAACGGAAAGGCCCUGCUUUUGUGGGGUGCUCGAGUGGCGAACGGGUGAGUAACACGUGAGUAACCUGCCCUUGACUUUGGGAUAACUUCAGGAAACUGGGGCUAAUACCGGAUAGGAGCUCCUGCUGCAUGGUGGGGGUUGGAAAGUUUCGGCGGUUGGGGAUGCACUCGCGGCUUAUCAGCUUGUUGGUGGGGUAGUGGCUUACCAAGGCUUUGACGGGUAGCCGGCCUGAGAGGGUGACCGGCCACAUUGGGACUGAGAUACGGCCCAGACUCCUACGGGAGGCAGCAGUGGGGAAUAUUGCACAAUGGGCGGAAGCCUGAUGCAGCAACGCCGCGUGCGGGAUGACGGCCUUCGGGUUGUAAACCGCUUUCGCCUGUGACGAAGCGUGAGUGACGGUAAUGGGUAAAGAAGCACCGGCUAACUACGUG